Arvicola amphibius (Eurasian water vole) is the source of this 2862-nucleotide long non-coding RNA. RefSeq lists it as uncharacterized. NCBI's taxonomy places the organism in Eukaryota, Metazoa, Chordata, Mammalia, Rodentia, Cricetidae. The record is from RefSeq and is a predicted model, not a curated record. The transcript has 3 exons.
CAUUCUGCAAGGUACGUCUCCUGACACAGUGUCUGUGCCAGGCAGCCUCAGAGUCAGGCUUCCACAAGAGCCGUGGGUGUUCUGCAGCCCUCUGCAUGGCCGAGCCUUUCUAAACAUCUUCAGACAAAGGCACUGAAUUGUUAGUGUGUGACUUCACCGCCUUUGCAGCAUGAAUCUCUCAGGAAGUUUCCUUCCUAAUGACUGAAGUUCUUGAGGGUCCUCAGCAGGACAGGAGAUGCCUUUACCAGCAAGUUCUCUGGCCUCUUGACGAGUCUAUCUCCAGUUAUUUGUGGGAGUCCGAGAGGUGACUGUGUUAAACUGAGUAACGUCUGAGGACUGUCUCAUUCAAGCAAGGAGCAUUGGGACCCGUUUGAGGUCCUCUCCCAACAUAAGAUAGGUCAUGAUGCUCCAGGCUGUGAAAAGGCAGGGACAACAUCCCAGCCAUUUGAAUCUGAGGGAACAUGGUAUGUAAGCUAGUAAAGUCGUAUCAACUCAUAUGAUUCUAACUGAAAAUACCAAGCUCAGGUUCUAGGCUGGGUAUACUUGAGAAUCAUUCCUAGCAUUUAGAAGGGUUUGCUAUGGUAUGAUUUGCUUUCUUCUAGAUGGAGCCUGUUUUAACUGUAUAUGUGACCUGGGGACCCCUCUCCUGAAUGAAUGGGGAGUAGCACAGAGGCUGUGGUAGCAGUGGCAGGUGGAGUGAGAGCCCUGGGGUCUGGAGCAUAGACAGCCAGGCCUGCGUUCUGCAUGUAUGAUUUCCUGCUCUCCAGAUGCCUCUCCUCUAAAAGCCUUAUUUUUGACAACUGCUCAGGAGGCCUGACCCAAUCAGAAGCUGGAAGAGAAAAAGCGAAUUAGCUGGUUUGCCUGGUUCUACUCAUUGAGCAAAAACCUAUUUGGUGUCGCUCUGGGCAGUGAAAGAUGCUGGGAACAGAAGAUGGAGCACCCGGGUCCUGAUGGUGGAAGGUGCUCCGGGGACCUCCACCUACAAAGAGGGAAAGGAGAGACGGAGCUGGGCCCCUGGCAGAGAAGCCCUCCCCUACACUGCCCUGAGUAUGAGAUAAGGAAGGAGGAGAGGCAGCGGCAGAAGGAGGAGAGGCUUGCUCCAGAGGGGCACAGCUGCAACAUCACUUCACCAUCACCAGGCUAACUGGGCAUGUGCACGAAAACACCGGGUGAGCACUUUGGUGGAAAGAGUUACCGAAAGCUGGGCUUGGCAUCAAGAGUUGCCUUGUUGCCGGGCGAUGGUGGCACACGCCUUUAAUCCCAGCACUCGGGAGGCAGAGGCAGACGGAUCUCUGUGAAUUCAAAGCCAGCCUGGUCUACAAGAGCUAGUUCCAGGACAAGCUCCAAAGCCACAGAGAAACCCUGUCUCGAAAAACCAAAAAGAAAAAAAAAAAAAAAAAGGGUUGCCUUGUUCCACAGAAGGGCAGAUAGGGAAAGAUGCUCAUGUCUCCACCAGUGUGUCUAGUCCUUGUCAGGGAAGCUGACCCAGAGAAAAGGCUGGACAGGCGGACUGGCUGCUCAGUGUCCCAGGGAAGAACAUCCCUGUUCUGGACACCGACAGAAAAAGAAUCACAGUUAGCCAACAAGUGGGACCUUGAAAAUAGAAACAUCAGGGAAGAGUGGCGUUUAGCCCAUUCACUUUGCUAAAAUUGGGGAGACUGGUGGGUUGAAUGUAAAUAUUCACCCGAUAGACAAUUGUCUUGGCCAAGUCUGGUGGCACAUGCCUGUGAUCCCAGCACUUGAGAAGCGAGUCAGGAGGAUUACUGUUGUUGAGGUCAGCUUAGGCUCCAUAAUCAGACCUUGUCUCAAAACCAAACAAACAGAAGCUAAGCACCAAACAUAAAAAGUUGCUGUGCUGACUAUUCUACCGGGCGCUCGCCUGUUCCCACAUCAGUCGGUAUUCUACUCUCAGACUCUGUAGUGUCCCAUUUGUCCUGACGCUGUUUACAGAUUUCCAAGAAGAGUUCUCAUUCCUUCUCUAUUCCAAAAAGAGCUCUCAUGUACAUAUUCACACAAGGAGAUUCACUGACAUUUAAUUCAGUAUGAAUGUCUGUGGAUGCCCUGAGGUCACACACAGCUGGAGACCAAGAAGAGGAGAAGACAGAGAGAAAGCAGCCGAUGGCCUAAUAACUCAGACCCAGCAAAUGACACGGUGGGGAGCUCUCUAACUCAACUUGUUUGUUUGGAUUCUGGUUUUGCUUUUUCUCACCUUGUAGAUCCCGUGUGUGGAGCUGAAGCCAAUAACUUGGAAAUGCUGGCGAGCACAAACCAAAAUAUUUCCAUCAGAAGCUUACUCUCUCUGACAAAAGGCAGGAAAUGAUGGCCGCCCAGCCUGUUAUUGACCUCACUGUCUUAGCCAGGCACUGAAGAACCAGGUGGUCCCACCCCUCCCACAACAGAAUCCAAGCAGGGUAUCUAGACCACACCACAAACAGACUGCCACACUCACCAAAGGUCUACAUCUCAGAGUUCAUGUGACAACAUCAGGCAGCUCUUAGUGCCAAGAGCCCAUUCCUCUGUUCAAACAUCCCAAGCAAUGGGGAAUCGGGCUAGAAGAAAGUGGCUCGCUGUGUAGCUCAAGUUGGGAUGCUGCUGGGGAUGCUGGUUCUGCCCCUCACUAACUCAGGGUAACUUUAUACUUUGUAAAUCUCAUCUGUAAAAUGAAGGCAGCAGUAUAUCCAUUUAAAGGACUUGUAAGACAAGUGAGGGGAGCACAUAACGAGGGUUGUGUAGAUGCACAGCCCACAAAGGCAACAGUGCCAGCUCGUGUUUAGUACCAAUGCUCUAAAUAACAAGUCUAUAUGUAGUCAACAAAAUUUUAGUUGACCCCUAAAUGCAUUAAAUCGAUUAACUGUUUUCCUA